This is a non-coding RNA of Salvia splendens (bonfire salvia), 73 nucleotides long. NCBI's taxonomy places the organism in Eukaryota, Viridiplantae, Streptophyta, Magnoliopsida, Lamiales, Lamiaceae. The record is from the annotation of a RefSeq genome assembly.
GCCAUCUUAGCUCAGCUGGUAGAGCGUAUGGCUUUUAACCAUGUGGUCGUGGGUUCCUUUCCCACAGAUGGUG